UGAGAGCUUUGAGAUGUGGUCCCCGCUC
Molecule: non-coding RNA, 28 nt
Filed under: Mus musculus (house mouse)
Lineage: Eukaryota; Metazoa; Chordata; Mammalia; Rodentia; Muridae
Source: RNAcentral